RNAcentral lists this long non-coding RNA (256 nucleotides) under Elaeis guineensis (African oil palm). RNAcentral describes it as "long non-coding RNA (EGUI_LNC046251)". The record is from RNAcentral. Lineage: Eukaryota; Viridiplantae; Streptophyta; Magnoliopsida; Arecales; Arecaceae.
UCAUUCUCUAAUAAGCACCCACAUCCUUGUAUUAGUGUCGUCACACAAGUGGUUGUGAGAUCAACCACCCUCAUCACUGAGCAUACAUAGGACAUAUUAGUCUUACCGGUAUCAUUGAUCUCCGACUCAAUGAAUCAAUGACUGAGAAUAUUUUAGGUCAUAGCUAUCAAAGAUUUAGGUCUCACUGGAGUGAUCUCAUCAUGGUCCUAAAACCAUUGCCCAACCUAUGGGGUUCAUUAUAAUCUUAAAAAUAAUA